UAGGGAAUCUUCGGCAAUGGGGGCAACCCUGACCGAGCAACGCCGCGUGAGUGAAGAAGGUUUUCGGAUCGUAAAGCUCUGUUGUAAGAGAAGAACGUGUGUGAGAGUGGAAAGUUCACACAGUGACGGUAACUUACCAGAAAGGGACGGCUAACUACGUGCCAGCAGCCGCGGUAAUACGUAGGUCGCGAGCGUUGUCCGGAUUUAUUGGGCGUAAAGCGAGCGCAGGCGGUUUAAUAAGUCUGAAGUUAAAGGCAGUGGCUUAACCAUUGUUCGCUUUGGAAACUGUUAAACUUGAGUGCAGAAGGGGAGAGUGGAAUUCCAUGUGUAGCGGUGAAAUGCGUAGAUAUAUGGAGGAACACCGGUGGCGAAAGCGGCUCUCUGGUCUGUAACUGACGCUGAGGCUCGAAAGCGUGGGGAGCAAACAGG
Molecule: ribosomal RNA, 429 nt
Filed under: bacterium
Lineage: Bacteria
Description: partial 16S ribosomal RNA
Rfam family: Bacterial small subunit ribosomal RNA
Source: RNAcentral